RNAcentral lists this long non-coding RNA (281 nucleotides) under Elaeis guineensis (African oil palm). Its description in RNAcentral is "long non-coding RNA (EGUI_LNC012128)". The record is from RNAcentral. Lineage: Eukaryota; Viridiplantae; Streptophyta; Magnoliopsida; Arecales; Arecaceae.
CUCACGAAUCACGAUCAGAAGUCCUGAUCUAGAAAAUCAGCACAGUAUGCUAGUACUGCGCUGAUCCUUCUUCGAUGGUCGAUCAGAUGCCUCUUUCUUCUUAUUUUGGACUCUUCCAAAGAUGAGAAGUAGAAGGAGUUUUAGAUGAGACACUCUCAGAAAACUUACAGAUGGAGGAAGGGAAGAGAUGAACCCAGCAACUCUAGAAGAAGACCCUCUUCUUCUUCUCUUUGCUCUAACCCAGACACUUAGUUUUGUGUCUAUUAGAUCUCCACGCACCA